GGACCAGACUCCUACGGGAGGCAGCAGUGGGGAAUAUUGCACAAUGGGGGAAACCCUGAUGCAGCGACGCCGCGUGAGUGAAGAAGUAUUUCGGUAUGUAAAGCUCUAUCAGCAGGGAAGAAAAUGACGGUACCUGACUAAGAAGCCCCGGCUAACUACGUGCCAGCAGCCGCGGUAAUACGUAGGGGGCAAGCGUUAUCCGGAUUUACUGGGUGUAAAGGGGGCGCAGACGGCAGCGCAAGCCAGGAGUGAAAGCCCGGGGCCCAACCCCGGGACUGCUCUUGGAACUGCGCGGCUGGAGUGCAGGAGAGGUAAGUGGAAUUCCUAGUGUAGCGGUGAAAUGCGUAGAUAUUAGGAGGAACACCAGUGGCGAAGGCGGCUUACUGGACUGUAACUGACGUUGAGGCUCGAAAGCGUGGGGAGCAAACAGGAUUAGAUACCCGAGUA
This 447-nucleotide ribosomal RNA is filed under the name uncultured bacterium. Its description in RNAcentral is "bacterial SSU rRNA". It matches the Rfam family "Bacterial small subunit ribosomal RNA", at positions 328 to 792 of the family's 1533-position model. The record is from RNAcentral.